AGCGAACGCUAGCGGCGGGCUUAACACAUGCAAGUCGAGCGGAGGGGCAACCCUUAGCGGCGGACGGGUGAGUAACACGUAGGUAACGUAUCCUCUGGUGGGGAAUAACCGUGGGAAACCAUGGCUAAUACCGCAUAUCGUAUGAAAGUAUGAAAGCCUUCGGGCGCCAGUUGAGCGGCCUGCGGCCCAUUAGUUAGUUGGCGGGGUAACGGCCCACCAAGACGAUGAUGGGUAGCUGGUCUGAGAGGAUGAUCAGCCACACUGGAACUGAGACACGGUCCAGACUCCUACGGGAGGCAGCAGUGGGGAAUCUUGCGCAAUGGGCGAAAGCCUGACGCAGCCAUGCCGCGUGUGUGAAGAAGGCCUGCGGGUUGUAAAGCACUUUUGUUCGGGAAGAAAUCAUGCUGGUUAAUACCUGGUAUGGAUGACGGUACCGAAAGAAUAAGCACCGGCUAACUUCGUG
Molecule: ribosomal RNA, 463 nt
Filed under: uncultured bacterium
Lineage: Bacteria
Description: bacterial SSU rRNA
Rfam family: Bacterial small subunit ribosomal RNA
Source: RNAcentral